GUGCCCUAAUCGGGUACGGGGACCGUGUCAGGCGGGCAGUUUGACUGGGGCGGUCGCCUCCUAAAGAGUAACGGAGGCGUUCCAAGGUUCCCUCAGAAUGGUUGGAAAUCAUUCGAAGAGUGCAAAGGCAGAAGGGAGCUUGACUGCGAGACCUACAAGUCGAGCAGGGACGAAAGUCGGACUUAGUGAUCCGGUGGUACCGCAUGGAAGGGCCAUCGCUCAACGGAUAAAAGCUACCCUGGGGAUAACAGGCUUAUCUCCCCCAAGAGUCCACAUCGACGGGGAGGUUUGGCACCUCGAUGUCGGCUCAUCGCAUCCUGGGGCUGAAGUAGGUCCCAAGGGUUGGGCUGUUCGCCCAUUAAAGCGGUACGCGAGCUGGGUUCAGAACGUCGUGAGACAGUUCGGUCCCUAUCUGUCGUGGGCGUAGGAAAUUUGAGAGGAGCUGUCCUUAGUACGAGAGGACCGGGAUGGACGUACCGCUGGUGCACCAGUUGUUCCGCCAGGAGCAUGGCUGGGUAGCUACGUACGGACGGGAUAAGCGCUGAAAGCAUCUAAGCGUGAAGCCCCCCUCAAGAUGAGAUUUCCCAAUUAGUAAGACCCCUUGAAGACGACGAGGUAGAUAGGUUGGAGGUGGAAGUGCAGUAAUGCAUGGAGCUGACCAAUACUAAUCGGUCGAGGGCUUAUCCUAU
This 689-nucleotide ribosomal RNA is filed under the name Bacillus sp. FJAT-27264. RNAcentral describes it as "bacterial LSU rRNA". It matches the Rfam family "Bacterial large subunit ribosomal RNA", at positions 2230 to 2925 of the family's 2925-position model. The record is from RNAcentral. Lineage: Bacteria; Bacillati; Bacillota; Bacilli; Caryophanales; Bacillaceae.